Molecule: ribosomal RNA, 253 nt
Filed under: uncultured bacterium
Lineage: Bacteria
Description: partial 16S ribosomal RNA
Rfam family: Bacterial small subunit ribosomal RNA
Source: RNAcentral
UACGGAGGGAGCUAGCGUUGUUCGGAUUCAUUGGGCGUAAAGGGUGCGUAGGCGGUGAGGUAAGUUGGAUGUGAAAUCCCGGAGCUUAACUCCGGAACUGCAUUCAAUACUGCCUUGCUAGAGUACUGGAGAGGAGAUUGGAAUUCACGGUGUAGCAGUGAAAUGCGUAGAUAUCGUGAGGAAGACCAGUGGCGAAGGCGAAUCUCUGGACAGUUACUGACGCUGAGGCACGAAGGCUAGGGGAGCAAACGGG